ACAGCGAUGUCCGAGUGGUUAAGGUGUUUGACUUGAAAUCAGAUCAGCUCUGCCCGCGUAGGUUCGAAUCCUGUUCGCAGCG
This 82-nucleotide transfer RNA is filed under the name Toxocara canis (dog roundworm). It matches the Rfam family "tRNA". From Rfam's summary of the family: Transfer RNA (tRNA) molecules are approximately 80 nucleotides in length. The record is from Rfam by way of RNAcentral. Lineage: Eukaryota; Metazoa; Nematoda; Chromadorea; Rhabditida; Toxocaridae.